AUCAAAAGAAAAAUAAGGAAACAUUCAGUCUUUUGACUCUGGUAACUUCCUGUGCAGUGAGUAAGCCUGUGAGCACUGAUGGUCUUGUCAUCUUGUGGGGUCCUGGGGUAAGGCAGUCCCCCUGGGGCCCGUGAGGGGUGCUAGGUUCAGGUGGUUACCCUCAGGCUGUAUGAGCUGGGACCUGGGAGCCCCCGGAGGCUUGGGAGUGGAGCCUCAGAGCAGAGGCCGGAGGGGUCACUUGCCCAAGCACCACUGCUGGGAUCUGGAAACUGGAGUUGGUCUGGUCAUGGCCUGGGCCAGGGCUUUUCUGUCAGUCAGAGGUGGCGUCUUGGGGUCCCCUGGCAGUUCACGGUGUUAUGCAGUAGACCGACCCACAGUGUGAGGUGCAGAGAGGGAUGUGCCCACUGAGGCUAGGGGCCCUGGGUUCAAGCGCUGAAGUCUGUCUGAGUCGAAUCGGCUCAGAUUCAGGCGGUGAGGUGGCAGGUGCUGGAGGCAAGCUUCUGGUGGUGGCCUCUGUCGCCUUGGCCCCAGCCGGAAGUGGGCGGGAACCCUGCGAGGCAGCCCCAGUGAGUGCUCCCACCUCUGGGCUCCGCUGCCCUUGGAAGUGGACGCUGCUCCCUCUCACUUCCUGCCCCGCCCUCGGCUGGGCUCCUGGGCCCCAGUGAAACACAGGAAGCGAGUUCAGCUGCUCCCUGUUUCCUUGGUCAGAGCUGGGCGUCCCGCAGAGGCACCACACUCAGGCUGGCAGGGUGGACAGAGAUAAAGGCAGGAGAGUGAAAGAAGCCAUGACACCAAAGUUCCCUUCAGUGUGGUGGGGGCUGGACUCGAACCCAGGUCACCCCCAGCAGAGCAGCGCCCUAUCCAAGUGAACUACUGUGCCAGCCCACAAGAACAUUUGCAAAAAUUGUUUUUUGUUUUAAAGGCACAGAGACAGAAACACACACCAGAGUCCUGCUGAGCUCUGGCCGAUGGUGGUGCGGGGGAUUGAACCUGGGACCUUGGAGCUUCAGGCAGGAGAGUCUCUUUGCAGAACCUCUGUGCUGUCUCCCCACCCCAAGAAUACUUACAAACACACCUCAAGCUUCUGUUUACUUAUGGGGGAGGCCAUGCCGCCUCCUGGCUGGAGCCCAGGCCUUCCCGUCUUCCCUCUCAGCAGCGUCCUAACCGUUGACUUUUACCCUGGAUUCAAAAUGAUUCAAAAUGCAGUUCGUCCCACUCCUUGCAGACCAGCAGGCACUGCUGGAGGCCUGCAGCUGGGUGCAGGGGCAGUGCUGGUGUGGGGUGCCUCCACUAAGUGGGGGGAAGCACUGGACCCCACAGUUUGACUUUGCUUUGCCUGGGCUGAUGGUGUUGGCGGCUGGACCCGAGGCCUCAGGCCCCACAGUCUUACACGGUGACUGCUCUGCUUCUCUCAUGUUCACAGGCUGGUGGCUCUCUGGAUGUAGACUGGCAUUUCCCCCUUUUUUCCCCCUUGGUACUUUUCUGAUUUUUUUUCUCUGUCUACCAGACCCUGCUCAGUUCUUGCUGAUGGUGGUGCUGGGGAUUGAACCUGGGACUUUGGAGCCUCAGGCAGCAGUCUGUUUGCAUAACCGCUAUGCUAUCUCCUCCGCCCUUCUCUUGAGUUUUUUAAUCCAUAGAAAACAUGGUGUUUUGUUAAGUCACUACUUUUUAAAAUACAUUUUUAAUUAGUAUUUUUUUAUUGGAUAGAGACAGAAAUCAAGAGGGAAGGGAGAGGCAGAGAGGGAGGGAGAGAAACAGCAAGACACCUGUAGCCUUGCUCUACCACUCUGGAAGCUUCCUUCCCUGCAGGUGGGAAGUGGGGGCUCGAACUUGGGUCCUUGUGCGUGUUAAUGCGUGUGCCACCACCUGGCUCCCUGUAAAUCACUAGUGAAAUAUAUAUGUGUGUGUUUAAAAAAAAAAGAAAA
Long non-coding RNA from Erinaceus europaeus (western European hedgehog), 1925 nucleotides. RefSeq lists it as uncharacterized. The transcript is spliced from 2 exons. NCBI's taxonomy places the organism in Eukaryota, Metazoa, Chordata, Mammalia, Eulipotyphla, Erinaceidae. The record is from RefSeq and is a predicted model, not a curated record.